Long non-coding RNA from Hypanus sabinus (Atlantic stingray), 15132 nucleotides. RefSeq lists it as uncharacterized. NCBI's taxonomy places the organism in Eukaryota, Metazoa, Chordata, Chondrichthyes, Myliobatiformes, Dasyatidae. The transcript is spliced from 4 exons. The record is from RefSeq and is a predicted model, not a curated record.
CGCAUUCACUAAAGCUCCUGGUGAAAGAGAAAAGGGGAUUAGAGAGAAGUGCGGCGGAGUGCUGAUGCAAGCUGAUGGGGAGCAUGUAUCUGCGCCGGGGCCUCGCUCCGCCCCGACAGGCUGCCUCCAACAGCGGAGGAGGCAAGAGGAGGCAGCGUUCAAGUAAAUACCGAGGGGGCAGGCUUCUCAUGAACCAGCGCCGCAGUAGCCCACAUCCAAGUUCUGUUGUGGGAGUCUAAUCGGGAGUCUUUACUCAUGACCAAUGGCACUCUCAGUGUUGGCCUUUGGAAAGACCCCUCACCCCACCUGUGACAUCAAAGUUACGGAAGAUCUUUAAAGCUAUUGCCAAGGCAGUCAAACAUCAAGAUACAGUGUGGAACAAGCCCUUACGGCCCAAUGAGCCGCACCGGCCUGCAACUCUCCUAUUUAACCUAGCUUAAUCAGAUGGCGGUUUACACUGACCAAUGAACCUGCUAACCGGUACAUCUUCGGACUGUGGGAGGAAAUCAGCAGAAACCCCUGCGCUCGUGGGAAGGACGUGCAAACUUCUUGGAGGAUGCAGGAAUUGAACUCUGUCACCUGAGAUGAAAUAAUCUUGUGCUAAGCUGCUGUGGCACCCCACACAACCAAAGGUUGACUGUCCUACUUGUGCUGAAAUAACAACUGUCACUGCAAAUCACUUGGAAGUGCUACAGACUUACACAAGGUAGCAGGUCUCAGUAGCUUGAUUGGAGCCCUGUUGAAACAGCUGUCUUCAGCUGCCAGCAGCAAUGAUGGAGCAAAUAGGAGUUCCAGUGAGAGGAUCUGAAGAAAUGAGUGCAAAAGCACUUCCCCAUGCAUUGAUGUGCUGUAGUUCUACUUCUAAAGAGACCUCCUUCCAAUACAGCUUCCCUCUGGGAAGGAGAAUUUUUUGAAUUUACUAAGGAAUGUUUAUGGCAAAAUAUUUUUAAAAACUUUGGGUAGUUGAAAUCAGACAUAUGAACAAAAAAUCCUGGAAACUCUCUGCAAAGGAGUAGCUGAACAAAACCCUGGCAAAGAGUCACUGACCAGAAAGAUGCAACCUGUUUCUCUUUCCAUGGAUGCUGCCUGACCUGUGGUUCCUGCAUUCAUUAUUGAUGCCAUGAGUGAUGAAAUGCUGGCGGUUAAACAUAUCAUGGCUAUUAGCCACAUACAGUAGCUAUUUAAUUGUAAUUUCAGAGCUCUCUUAGUUGUUGGGUUCAAAUAUGGAACACAGAAUUGAAGCAGAUAUACCAAAGGGUUCUGGUUUUCACUGAGUGAGCUAAUCUCAGUUUUCCUGGAUUUGGGAAGAGGAAAUUCAACCAGGGUUAUGCACCAAACCUUUCAUUGUUCCUUCCAUUGGCAAUGUAGUACUGACGUGAGAUGUGGCAUAUGCCUUGUAAUAAAACAUCCAGAAAAGGUUACACCUGUGUCCCAUACUUAUUAGGUACCUGCACUCCAUAACUCCCCUUCAAAUGCUCCCAUCAGUAACGGCAACUUGUAACUACUUUUGCACCUCAAAUUCUUUUUCCAGACUGCUCAAAUUCAGCAAACACACAAAUCCGUGACUAAAUAUCCUUUGUAGUUCCAGGCGAUGUAGGCUUAAACAAAUUCAAAUAUCCAACAUUAUGCUUCACUGAAAUCCUAGCAACAGAUAUAAAAUGAACAGUCCCAGAUUUAGCAUUUCACCUUUGCGAAUCACCUUCCUUAUUUGCAUAAACCUCACAACAUCUGAAACACCAGGCAUCUAAUGAAGAUUUGUGUUUAAAUUAUGCUGGGGUUUUUUUGCAGUGAAGGAAGAGCAAAGAUAAAUAGAGUUUUGCAGCAGUCGCUAUGUUCAGACAUUAAUGGUGAAUCUGUAAGGUCAUUUUUUAUUUGCAAAAUACAGACACAGCAGCAGUCCAAUCAAUUUUCAGUAAUUGAAAUUUCAUGCCCGAGCUCUGAUAUCCACUGCCAUUUUGUGAAUGCAUAAAAUUUCACAUUUUCUGUAGAAAUAUAUAUCCAAAUUUCACACUGGAAUAACACUAGGAAGUUUUGUUUUUUAAUUACAAUAUUGUGCAUUGUCAGAUUUCUGCGGCGGAUUCAUCUCUUGGUUGAGAUGAAGUAUGAAGAUAAUUUUUUGGACUUUCUAUUAAGUACUGUAACUGAAGUACUUUCAUCUUUCACCACCACCAACUGAUCCAAACAGGACCAUCUCAGUAGUGGAUUGUCAAGAUCAACUUAAGUUAGCUGUACUGUCCCUUGCUGUUUAACAAGUUAUUUAGAGUAUAGAACAGUUCAACACAGGACCAGGUUCUUUAGUCCAUGAUAUCUGUAUCAAAUAUGAUGCCAAAUUAAAAAAUUCUGUAUUUCCUGCACAUUAUCCAUAUACUUCCAUUCCCUACAUAUUCAUGUGUAUAACAGCCUCUUAAACACCGCUCUCAUAUCAGCUUUCACCACUCUGUUCAACAGCUUGUUCCAUCCACCAAAUGCACUGUAUUUAAAAAGAAAAAUUAUCCUGCACAACUUCUUUAAACAUUCCCUCUCACCUUAAAUGCAUGCUCUCUAGUACUUGAUAUUUGUGCCAUGGGAUAAAGAUUCUCACAUUCUAUCCUUUCUGUGCCUUCUAUGUUCUUAUAACCUUAUAUCGGGUCUUCCCUCAGUCUCUGAUGCUCCAGAAGAAACAACCUACAUUUGUCCAACCUUUCCUGGUAAACCUCUACUACAUCCUUUACAAAGGCUGUAUAUCUUUUCUGAAAUACAUUAAAAUGAUGUAACAAUGUCCUCCCCAAAUGAAUGCUAACAUUCCAUUUGGCUUCUGUAUCACUGACUCAACCUACGUGUUAACCUUUAGGGAAUCUUAUACAAGGACUCCCAAGAGCCUUUGCACCUGAUUUUUUUUCUCUCUCUCUCUGUUCAGAAAAUAAUCUAUGCCUUAUUUCCUUCCACCAAAGAACAUGGACAUACACUUCCCUACAGUAUGUACCAUUUUACCAGUUAUUUGCCCAUUCUCCCAAUCUCUCUUAGUCCUUUUGCAGAAUCCCUGCUUCCUGAACACUACCUGCCCCUUCAACUAUUUUUGUAGCAUCUGCAGACUUAGCCACAAAACCAUCAAUUCUGACUUUUUUCCAUGUCUUUGCCUCCCGUCAGUCAGCCCAAUCUUCUAUCCACGUUAGUAUUUUCCUGCAAUACCAGGGGCGCUUAUCUUGGUAAGCAGCCUCAUGUGCGGCACCUUGUCAAAGGCCUUCUGAAAAUACAAGUAAACAGUAUCCACUGACUUUUUAGUUAUCCCGCCUAUUAUUUUCUUAAAGAAUCCCAACAGAUUUGCCUGGCAAGAUUUCCAUCAAAUAAACCAGACUGCCUUUGGUCUCUUUUAUAGCACACCUCCAAGUACUCUGAAACAUCAUCCUUAUUAAUGUUGUUCUGCCUCCCCCCUUCUUAAAGAGUGGAGUGACAUUUGUAAUUUUACAGUCUUUUGGAACCAUUCUGGGACCUAAUGAUUCUGAAAAGAUCAUUACCAAUGCCGCCACGAUCUCUUCAGCUACCUCUUUCAGAAACCUGGAGUGUUGUCUACCUGUUCCUGGUGACUUAUCUACCUUCAAUCCUUUUAGCUUCACAGGCACCUUCGCCUUAGUAAUAGAAAAGACACUUGCUUUUGCCCCCCCCCCCACCCUGAUACUCUUGAAUUUACAGCAUACUGCUAGUGUUUUCCACAGUGAAGACUGAUGCAGCAUACUUACUAAAUUUGUCCACCAUUUCAUUGUUCUCUGUUACUACCUAUGGUGUCAUUCUUCAGUGGUUUAAUAACUUCUCUUGCCUCUCUUUUAGUCUUUAUAUAUCUGAAAAAGAAAUGGUAUUCUUGUAUAUUAUUGGCUAGCCAUCAUAUUUCAUCUUUUCUCUCCUUAUGGCUUUUUUAGUUGUAUUGUGUGUUGGUUUUUAAAAGCUUCCAAUCUCCUAAUUUCCCACUAAGCUUUGCUAUAUUAUAUGCUCUGUUUUGCUUUUAUGUUGUCUUUGACUUACCUUAUCAACUACAGUUGUGUCUUCCUCCCAUUAGUUUUCCUCUUCAUCUUUGGGAUCUGUCAAUCUUGUUCCUUCCAAAUUAUUCCCAGAAGCUCCAGCCAUUGCUGUUCUGUUGACAUCCCAGUUAGAGUCCCCUUCCAAUCAACUUUGACCAAGUCUUCUCUCAUCCCUCUGUAAUUCCUUUUACUACACUGUAUUACUGAUACUUCAAGCUUCAUCUUCUCCCUCUCAAACUAGAGGGUUAAUUCUAUCAUGGUCACUAGUUCCUGAAGGUUCCUUUACCUUAAGCUCCCUAAUUAUAUCCAAAACCCAAUCCAGAAUUGCCUUUCCUCUAUUGGGCUAACCACAAGUGCACUAAAAUACAUUCUACAAAUUCCCUCUCUUGGAAUCCAGCACUAAUCUGAUUUUCCCAACCUACAAUACAUGCAUAUUGAUAAUUGUUUAUGACUAUCAGAACGUUGUCAAUUUUACAAGCCUUUUCUGUCUCCCAUUGUAAUUUCCUGGUUAUUGUGCAGAGGCCUGCAUAUAACUCAUAUCAGUGUCUUUUUUCCGUUGCAGUUUCUUAACUCUACCCACAAGGCUUCUACAUCUUCCAAUCCUAUGUCACCUCUUUGUAAGGAUCUGAUUUCAAUUUUUACCAAUAGAACCACCCCAUGCCCUCUGCCUACCUGCCUAUCCUUUCAGUACAAUGUGUCUCCUUGGAUGUUAAGCUCCCAACUAUGAUCUUCUUUCAGCUAUGACUCAGUGAUGCCCAGAAAAUAAUACCUGCCAACCCCUAACAAUGCUGCAAGUUCAUCUACCGUAUUCCGUGCAUUCAAGUAUAACACCUUCAGUUUUGUAUUCAUCACCUUAUUCAUUUUUCCCCCAUGUUACACUUCAACUCAUCCAAAUGACUGCAGAUUUGCCCUAUCAUCUUCCUUGCAAACUCACUACACACUGCAUCAAUUUGCAUACUAACUGCUCCAUCCUCAGCCCUAUCACACUGGUUUCUAUCUCCCUGCCAAAUUAGUUUAAGCCCACCUCCACAGCUCUAGUAUACCUGACCAUGAGGAUAUUGAUCUUCCUCAGUUUCAAGUGAAACUUGCCCUUUUUGUACAGGUCAUACCUUUCCUAGAGAUCCCAUUGAUCCAGAAAUCUGAAACUCUGCCUCUUGUACCAAUUCCUUAGCCACUCAUUCAUCUGCCAAGUUGUCCUAUUCUUACCCUCACUGGCACAUGGCAUGGACAGAAAUCCAGAGAUUACAAUCCUGGAGGUCCUGCUUCUCAGUCUCCUACCUAACACACUAUUUUCUACAACCAUUCUGUUCUUGAUUGUACAUUGUCCAUCUCUGAUUUUCCCCUCUUUCUUGAUCUCCCUGUAAGUCCGCAAACUUUCACAGCUACUUUGAUCUUGCCUUUAGUUCAUGUGAAGGACCGAUUCACUUGUAUGUUUUCAAUUUUAGAGUUUUGCUUUUGGCUUUCCCAAUGUAGUCUCCUCAAUGCUGGAUAGAACAAAUGCAGUUUGGCUGACAGCUUUGCACAAAAGUUCCUUUCAAUGAGGAUUCUGUCACUUUAAAUCAUCACUCCAUUCCCACUCUGCCUUAUCUGACUGUGUACAGUGAAGGCCAAAUUAUCUUGAGGAACAGUACUUAAUCUUCUGAUGCAGACACCAAAGCCUCGAGGAUGUAAUAUCAAAUUCAAGAACUUGGCUUGUAUCUAAACUGUAAGGUGAUUCCUCUGUCAUAGUAACUCAUAUUUUCUCACUUCACAGUCACUACCUGCUCUGCUAAUUAUUUUCAAUAUACCCUUCUAGGUUCUCUGCCAUAGUAAUAACUCUGACCUGCAUCUCACGGCUCUUAAAUGGCCCUUUGUUUGAUUUCCUUUAACAACUCUUGCAACAUAUAAUCACAAUAGUUCCAAAACAGCAGAAUAACAUCUGCACAUCUGAAAUGGUUUUAUUUAUCCCAAGCCCACCUUCUCCACAAAUUAGAUCUACUUUGUUUUCUCAGUUCUGAUGAAGUGUUUGUUUUUGCUGAAGUUACCUGACCUGAUGGAUGUUUCUAGUAUUUUCCGAAGAAAUAACCAGAGGUAUUUCAUUCAUAUCUUUAUUAAUGUUUUUCUCCUGUACAAAAGAAUGGAUACUCACAAAAUGUUUGAUAACACAGUCCACGGUGUGAAUGUGCAAAAUAAAAUGGAGCUUGGCUUGUUUCAGAAAGGCUUGGCUCAUUUAUAAGGAUUGACUGAAAUACCACAGGUGUGUUUUCAUGCAAUUUGACGUAGGGCAAUGUAACAACUGGAUUCUUGUAAAAUUGAAAGUUCUAUUCGAAUGGAGGUAGGUGAGAACUUAACAGAUCUACACUCAAAUUAAUAACCCUAAUAAAGAAAACAAAAGGAUACUUAAGCAGUAUUAAUUCAAAGUAGGAAUCUGGAAAAACAGAACUAUUAUUUGCAUUUAUAAUAUGACUGAAAUUGAAAUGGCAAAGUAUUUGAGAGUGAUUAUUGAUCAAACUAUGAAAGAAUACAUCAGUUAUGAAGAAGUAAAUAAGUUUUGGGAUUCGUGUGAAGGAGAUUAAAAUCAGGCAUGUUCUACUGACGUUUUAGUGUAAUUCAAUUUUGGAGAUGCCAGAGACUACAGAUGUUAGAAUCUGGAACAUCUGAGGGGUGGAGGGUUUGGAGAGGAAUUGGUGAUGUUUUGGAUUGAAUCCUUACAUCAGUCAGUUUUACCUCAAUGAUUUUUUUUUUUGCUCAUCCUACCACAAAAGAAAUAUACAGAUUUCUGUAAAUAAAAUGUGAAAUCAAUAUCAGAGAUAGGUCUAGGAUUUAAGAGCCAGUCUAUGGAAUAUCUCCAAGGAAUUUUAUGUACUUUCAAGAGAAGACCAAGGAAGUUUGCAGAUAUAAAACGUGCCGUUCUAUUCAUUGGAUUUCUAGUUGUGUUAUCUCCAUAAUGGUUGCCUCAACAAAUUCUAUUCUCCUGAUCAUGUUCUCUUUCUCGUGAUAGUCCUCAUUUACAUACAUAAUUUUGCUUAAAAAAGUUUAGUCGUGCCAGAGAGCUCCCAUGUUCAAAUAACAUUUUAAAAAAAUCCUUAAAUAUGUCCAUGAUUAUCUUAUUUUUCAUUGCAUUAGUAACCAUAUUGGCUAGUGGAAUUAAACAGUUAUAAAGUCACUUGUUACGUUCUGGUGGAAAAAGUCUAAUUUCUCUUCCUUCACCAUUGUGUUUUCACAAUGAAUCUACGUGGCAAAUUUUAAAUUGCAUUCAUAGUAUUUUAUUUUCAAAAUGAGGUGGCUGUACUAUACAUAGUACUUCAGUUAUGAAUUAAUUAAGCUCUUCUGAAAGUUUAUCCUUAUUUCCUUGCGUUUAUAUUUCUUUUCUGCAGGAGGAAAUAAAAAUUUAUUUUCAAAGUCUGAUUUACUACAAUUCUACCUGCAUAUUUACCUGCAAGGUGUUAUUCUAGAUAAAAUCUUGCCUCAUGAAUUGUUUGUUUCUUCCUUUUUAACAUGUUGUUUAAUAUAUUUUACUUGGGAAUUUUUUUUCAGUCUGUUCACCUAUACCAUAAACCUAUUAUUUGCAUGCAGCCUCUCACUAUUAUGACCCAUAGUCUUGCCCUCCAAUUUGGUAUCGUCAGUAGCAUUCAAUAUUUAAUUUUAAUUCCAUAUUGCGGAAAUAAAAUGAACAAGAUCAAGAACAUCUAUUUGGCAGCUUUUUGCACAAGAAGUGGCUUUUCCUGUACUCUUUGUGUGUAGCCCUCCAUGUAUUUCUGUCUAAGACACCAUUUUGUACAUCAACAUAGGAUGUCAAUCCAGAAACAAAUUAGAUAACUAAAUUUAUCAAUAGGAUGGGAUGAAAGAACUGGUUGCAACAUUAAUAAGGCUUGAGCAAGGAAAGAGACUAGGAAACAUAUUUUUGAAAAAUUCUCUUUAGAACAGAAAAGAGAAUCAAUCAAAAGUUGGUCAACAUGUUCUAAAGGGAGAUAUUUCAACAGCCAUCGAGAAGAGCGGUGGGUCAUCUAGUACUAAUAUCAUUCUUUUGACAUUUGCCAGAAAUGAUGAGGGAAGAAAUGUAUUUUUCCUUAAAGUAGUCACAGCUAUGCCCAUCAUUGAUGGAUUUAAUCUCUGGGCUGAUUCACAUUUGCAGGUUUUCUUGUGUUCCAUAAUUUCUUGAAGAAUUCAACUGUAUUUCAGGCUAUUUUCAAAUUUAGAGAUUUUGAAAAAGAGUCCUCCAGGUUGGGGUAGUAUCUAGCGAUUCAUUAGAAUAGAGAAAAAACUCUACACUCUGAAUGCCUGUGAGUACCACAGUAAUGCACCAUUUGAUGAACUUUCCAUUGUGAAGCACUAACCUUCUCUUGGGCAAGCUGACUAAAAUAGAUAACAAAGUGAAGCAACAGGACUGAUCAAUCUGCAGCUCACCCACACCAUUAUACUAUGCAAAUAUUGUAAGUACAUCUGUAAAGGUAUAUUAAUAAACCUGUGAAAUUUCAAAUUAGUCUUUCAUAAUUGAUUUCUAUAGAAAUCAGAGGAAUGUCUAUUCCAAAAAUGUGUGAAAUAGAUAAAAAAUUUGUCUCAUGGAACAAACUCACGUUCACAGCAUGUUUGAUUUCUUCCACUGUGGCUCCACCACACCCACCUUAACUCCCACAGGAAAAAGUUCGGUGACAAAACCAUGUGAUAAUUUGUAUUCUGUUUUAGACUUUUCCCCAAUUCCCAGUCAGAUAUUUAAGAGUCUUUUUGAACAUGUUCUUCUUCAUACUCAUCUCUCAAAGUCAUGGAUCUUUCCAUUGGCAGGUUUAAUAGUAACUGUGACAUCUUCAAAGGUGUUAAGUUGAGAAUGGCAAGGAAAAUAAAUGAGUAGAAAGGACUCGGCAGUCUCUGGAGAAAGCUGGAAUGUUAUUGCCCUUAACAGGACUACAGCCCCAAAGUCACCACUGCUGAAGCAACUGUUAACUUCUGAGUUUUUUUACAUAUCAAUUAGGUAAAGAAUAGUUUGGAAGUAUUUCCACUAAAGCACAAGCUCUAUCUUCAUCACCAGAAAAAAGUAACAAAGUCUGUCGUAUAUUGUGAAUCAUCAGAUAUUUUUAUUUCAUUAAUUCUGCUGUGUUUUGACCCGCUGAGUUUGCAGUGCAUGGCAGGCAUCACUGCUCUUCAUUACAUGUACAUUAUAUAGGUGUCCCUCGGUGCAGAGAUAAAACACAUGGUGCUUCUUUCAUCUGUCCUUCAUUUUGCAGUUGAAAGAGCAAGAAUGUUGAAUUGAACUCUGGACACUUAUUUAUUCAUUUUUUAAUGUUCAUUUUAAAGAGCAGCAGAUGGAUUUAGCAAAGAGAAUAUUUUAGCCUUUGCAAACUCUGGCAUUACUGAGACUGCCCUCAACUGGAUGUGGAUAAAUUAUACCCUUUCUACAGUUUAAGGCCAGCACCCAGAAACAAGAGCUCUACCAUCUGAGAGGAAGAGAAAAAGAACUGAUUACCUAGAAGAACUACUUUCAAGCUUCCAAAGUAAGUGAGCUGUUUAAUCUAUCUGCAUUUUUUCUUGAUUUGAGAGUUUAUAAGUAUGUGUGCUUAUUGCUUAAACAAAACAGAACCUUUGUUAUAGCCUAGCUAUAUGAAUGAAUGAGCAGGCAGACCAUACACAACAAGACAAUGUCAGAUUUUGUCCCUUCUCUGUGCUGAGUUAACUGAUCUCGGUUUUAUUGCAGAAGAGAAAAUAAGCAGUGCUCUCUGUUCAUGAUUGUAUCCAAUUUCUCCUAGUGAACAUGAAUGUGGCUGCAUGGCAAGGUCAAACAGAUUGAUGACACACACUUUCUAAGAUAACAACUAAUACUGUAGAUGUCCACAUGUGCUGAUCAUAGAACACUCAGAGAAUCAUUCAUGUGAUGUAAUUGAAUAAUAGAUAAUGGAUCUCAUCAAAAGUUGCAUGGUUAAAAAGACUUGCAUUUAUAUGGCCAGUUUUACAUCCUACUUAGAAUUCCCUGAAUGCAUUGAAAUGUGGCAGCUGGUUUAGGUGAAGCAAGACGCCACCAGCACCAAUGUGCUCGUAAGCAGGUAGGUUUUUUUUCAUAACUUUAAAUGAAGGAUAAGUACUGGUCAAGAAACCAGGAAUAACACCUCUUCUCUUCUCUUCAGAAUUUUGCCAUUAGAUUUUCAUUUGCAUCUCAGAAAGCCAGAGGAGCCUUGGUCUAACAUUGUAUCUAAACGAGCAUCUCCAGCGCUGCCUCAACAUCCUGCUGGAAUGUCGACGCUUUUUGGACUUCUGUGUGUGUGCUUCUGGAGUGGGUCUGUUCAGAGACAAGACUGUGACCCAUUGACCACAUUUGAGAAAGCUCACUCUUUUGAGUUUCUUAAUUUGUACUUUUAUAUAGUUCCAAAAUACCUGAGACUGCAUUAUGUCAUGAGAAAGCCUAUAUAGAACAAGAUGUCCCUUGAAGAAUUUUAGAUAAAGUACUAAACUGCUUGAAGUAACUGGUUCAGAUUGAAUCUCUGCAGUAUAACAUCAGUCUUCCUCUUUGGCUUCCUUUUUAGAUCAAGGGUUCCCAGCCUGGGGUUUGCGGCCCACUCAGUAAGGCUCUAUGGCAUAAAAAAAAGAUGUUUUAACUAAUCAUCCCAAAGUGAAGGAGAAUGAAUACUCCCAAUAUACAAAGAUAUCACCAAUAAAAUGUUUGUAUGGUUGGCUGAGAUGCUCUGGUCAAAUAAUGUUUGAAUGAGAGGAUAUUGUCUUUCAUAACUAGGACUGUUAUUGUGUUAAAUAAUGGCUCCAGUCUUUAGAACUUAUCAAUCCCUAAAACAAACUUCAGCCAUUAUUUAGUUCAUCCACAGAAAGAGAAAUUUCAGUUGGUUAUCUUUCUCUAUAACUGGCUAUAGAGAUUCCUAGAUAAAAGAAAAUCUGCAGAUGCUGGAUAUCCAAAGCAAUGCACAAAAAUUGCUGGAGGAACUCAGCAGGCCAGACAGCAUCUAUGGAAGAGAGUAAGCAAUUGACAUGUCAUGCCGAGAUCCUUUUUCGGGAAACAAAGAAUCCCAGCUUCAGAGAGAUUCACAGACAAAUAACAACCGUUCUUUGUUCCGUAUAGAUUUCUGUAGACAGUCAUUGUUCCAUUUUCCAGGAAGAUUCUCACAGACUUGCAGCUGAUACUCUCUAUUCCAGAGAGAUACCCAUUGAUUGGCAGGCCCAUUCCUUUUUCCAGAGAGAAUCACAAGAUUGACAGCUGUUGUUCCCUUUGCUACAGAGAUUCCACAAACCGACAGCAAUGAUUCCCAUCUCCAGAGGGAAAAGUAACGUGGAGUGCCAAUACUUGUCAUUUUUGAUUUCGAUGCAAAAAGACCAGUGUCAGCAGCAGCUAAAGAAGAUUUUAAUUAAAUCAUCACUUGCAUUUUGCUAAAGCAAACUAAAUCAUAUGGUGAUCCAAGCCAUUCAUUUAUAAGUAAAACAUUUAUUAAAUUAUUUGUUUCUGCUUGAAGACAAAUGGUGCAAAUUAUAAAUUCAUUUGAAGUUGAUAUAAUUAUGAUUAAAAAUUGCAGCUGAUAAUUACUGAUAUCCUAAAACCUCAUUCUUGAUUUUUAAAAAUCAACUUGUUAACAAUUUUUCUAAAAAAAAAACAGUUUCUUUCAUUUCAGCCAUGGCACAGCAGUCCUUGGCUUGUGUUGCAUCAGUAUCAGGCUCUCGUGUAUUGAUCAUCCGUGUUUUGUGUGUUCUUCAGAUUAAUUUUCUGGUUCCACUAUUUUUCCAUGCAGCCACAGCUAGUAGAUUGAAGUACAAAUAUAUUAAAAGUAAAAGGUAGUUAUGGAUCUGCCUCAUACCAUGUCCAGUUUUCCUUGCAGAAACAGAAGAUUUGUCCCUUUAAGUACCUUGGUAAUGUAUCCAAAUGAUUCUAAUGGAAUGCUGCUAAGGUUCUAUUAGUAGUGAUGGUUACAGGCGCUUCAGGUAUCUUACUACACAUGCUACUUGCGUCAUUUGCACAGAGAUGAUAAUAUCAAUCUUCCCAGAUUGCUAUGUGAGAAAGCAAAAAAAAAAAAUAGUGCAGGUCACCUCAAUCUGAAAUGGAUAUAGAAAACACUGGAAAUGCUUAGCAAAUCAGAUGUCCUCUGUGCAAAGGAAACAGUGUUAACAUUUCAGAUUUUAUAGAAGGUCAUCUCUUUCCACAGAUGCUACCUAGCCUCCAAGGAUUUCCUAGCAUUUCCUUUCUUAUUUCAUAAUUCUAUAGCAGCAGUGUUAAUUUACAAAAAAGAUAAUUAAUUUGAUUUUAUUUGCAUUGUCCAUUCCAGACUCUAUGGGUCCCCUCCUAUCAACUACUAUUAUGAAGGAGAAGGUGUUCGGGAAGCUGAAAAGUCUGAAGGUAGAUAAGUCACAUGAUCCAGAUGGACUACACCCUGAAAGAAGUAGAUUAUGGAGGCGUUAGUAAUGAUCUUUCAAGAAUCACUAGAUUCUGGAAUGUUUCUGGACACCUGGAAUAUUACAAAUGUCACUCCACUCUUUAAGAAGGGAGAGAGGCAGAAGAAAGGAAAUUAUAGGCCAGUUAGCCUGACUUCAAUGGUUGGAAAGAUAUUGGAACCUUUUAUUAAGGAAGAGAUUUCUGUGCACUUGGAGAUGCAUGAUAAAAUAGGCCACAGCCAACAUGUUUUUCUCAAGGGGAAAUCUGUUGGAAUUCCCAAAGGGAAUAAUAGGCAGGAUAAAUAAAGAAGAGUCAGUGGACAUUGCUUAUUCGGAUUUUCAGGAGGCCUUUGACAAGGUGCCGGACAUGUGACUGCUUUACAAGAUGAGAGCUAAUAGUAUUUUAGGAAAGGUACUAACAUGAGGUGAAUUUUGGCUAAUGGGAAGACAGCAGAGAGUGGGAAUAAUGGGGGUCUUUUCUGUUUGGCUGUCGGUGACUAAUGUGCUGCUGGAGUUGGUGUUGUGACUGUUUCUUUUCACAUUAUAUGUUAUUGAUUUGAAUGAAGGCAUUGAUGGCUUUGUGGCCAAGUUUGUCAAUGAUAUGAAAAUAGGUGGAAGAACAAGUAGGGCUGAGGACGCAGGGUAUCUGCAGGAGUUCAACAGAUUGGGGAAAUGGGCAAAAAAACUGGCAGACGGAAUAUAGUGUUGGGAAGUGUAUGGUUCUGCACUUUAGCAGAAGGAAUAAAUGGGUGGACUAUUUUCUAAGUGGGGAGAAAAUUCAAAAAUCAGAGGUGCAAAGGGACUUUGGCGUCCUUGUGAAGGAUUCACUAAAGAUUAACUUGCAGGCUAAAUCAAUGGUAAGGAAGGCAAAUGCGGUGUUAAUAUUCAUUUCAAGAGGAUUAGAAUAUAAUGCUGAGACUUUAUAAGGCAUUGGUCAGAGGGCACUUGGAGAAUAGCGAGCAGUUUGGAGUCCCUUAUUUAAGAAAUGAUGGAUGUGGAGAAUAUGCUUCCAAUAGUGGGUGAGUCUAGGACCAGAGGGCACAGCCUUAAAAUUGAGGGAUGACAGUUUAGAAAAAAAAGAUAAGAAGAGAUUUCUUUAACCAGAGUGUGGUGAAUUUGUGAAAUUAUUGCCAUUGACAGCUGUUCAGGCCAGGACAUUGGGUAUAUUUAAAGCCAAGCUUGAUAGGUUCUUGAUUAAUCAGCACGUGAAAGGUUAUAGGGAGAAGGCAGGAGAAUGUAGAUUAGAGAGGUAAUAAAUCAGCUAUGAUGGAAUGAUGCAGCAGACUUGAUGGCCAAAUGUGUUACUUCUACUCCUGUGUCUUAUCAAACUGUUCAUGCCCAAGAAUGUGUGAUUCUACUGAUAGUAGCUUUUCAGCAUGCAUGAUCUAAUAACAAGCUUUGUUUUUCUUUAACAUUAAAACAUAGCUUACUGUGAUUGAUUAUUGUAUGUUAGUUCAAGUUCAAAUUUAUUGCCAUUCAGCUGCAUACAUAUAUACUGCCAAAUGAAACAAUGUUCUUCCAGACAAAGGUACGCAACAUAGUACAUAUAAUAUUUGACACACAAACAACACAAAGGUAAUAUUACCACAAGUGAUUGAACAAUUAAUAAGGUGCAUUUAUGACACAAGUCAAAAAGCAAACAGUAUACUCAUGGACUGGCAUUUCAUACAUGAUGAUGAGACCUUGAUGGUGGCAGGGAGUUCAGUGGUCUUACGACUGGGGGAAGAAGCUCUUCCCCAUGGUAACAGCCCUCAACCUACUGCUAUGGUACCUGAUGGUAGGGGGGUCAAAGGAUUGUUGGACAGAUGGGAAAGAUCAUUGAAAAUAUUAAAGACUCUGCAUAUUCAGUAUUCCUUAUAAAUAUCUCAGAUGGGUGGAAGAGAGACCCUGAUGAUCCUCUCAGUGGACCUCACAAUCCUUUGUAGGGUCAUGAGAUAAGACCCCUUGUAAAUCAUGUGAUGGAGCUGGUCAGGACACUUUAGAUGGUGCUCUAGUAAAAAUUGGUUAGAAUGGGGAGUGGGUUGGGCCUCCCUUACCUCAAUCUCCUCAGGAACUGGAGAUGCUGCUGUGGUUUCAUGGCUAAAGAGGUGGUGUUGAGGGACCAGGUGUGAUUAUCCAUUAUGUGCACUCCCAGAACCCGGUGCUUCUUACUCUCUCCACGGAGGAGCUAUUUGUAUGCAAUGAGGAGUUGUCAACCUGCACCUUCCUAAAGUUCACAAUCAUCUCUUUGGUCUUGUCCACACUGAGACUCAAGUUGUUGUGCUCAGGCUACUCCACCAACUGCUCUACCUCCUUUUAUCGGUACACCAUUUUGUCUUUCUCAUUGAUGAGGCCAAACACUAUUGUGUCAUCGGCAGUCUUGCUGAUUCAGUUUGACCAGAUCUAGCAGGUCAGUCAUGUGUGUCUGCAGCAGGCCAAACACACAGCCCUGGAAGUUCACCAGUGCUCAGCAUCAUGGAGCUACAGAUGUUGCUGCCAACCUGGACUGACUGUGGUCUUUCUGUGAAGAAGUCCAAGAUCCAGUUACAGAGAGAGAUGCUGGGACCCAACAAGGACAGUUUAUCCAUCAGCUCCUGAGUGUUGACUGUAUUGAACACUAAGCUGAAGAUGAUAAACAGCAUCCUGGUGUAUGAGGCAUCAUUUAAUUACCCCAGUAAGUACUUCAGUUGUGUAUUUUAAGUUACUUUCAAUAACUUAACUUUUUUUGAAGUGGUUUAUUUUUCUGUUGUGCAUUUUUAGCUGGAUUUUUUUUUAAUGGACUUGAUUACCAGAGUUACUUAGAGUAUUGUUUUUAAUAGCGAAAAAC